CGGCCAGCGCGCAGAACCCGGAACCCUGAGCCCUGCCCCGAGACUGACUUUAGGUCUGGGCCAUCCUAUCCAGGUCUGGAGUUUUGGCAAGAAGUCCAUGUGCAGGGCCUUGGGAACUGUUUUGCAAGUGUAUCCUGGGAUUUUGUAAUCAACAGUAAUGGAGAUUGAAUCCAAGGCUUUUGCACUGAACUCCAACCUCGGUCCUUUUUAUUUUUUACUCUGAGACUGGGUCUUCCUAAAUCACUACUGGUAAGUUGCCCAGGUUAGGCUGGAACUUGCAGUCCUCCUGCCUCAGUCUCCCAGAGAGCUGCGAU
This 314-nucleotide long non-coding RNA is filed under the name Heterocephalus glaber (naked mole-rat). RNAcentral's name for it is "lncRNA (ENSHGLG00000047457.1)". Lineage: Eukaryota; Metazoa; Chordata; Mammalia; Rodentia; Bathyergidae. The record is from RNAcentral.